Transfer RNA from Thioclava dalianensis, 74 nucleotides. It matches the Rfam family "tRNA". Rfam says of the family: Transfer RNA (tRNA) molecules are approximately 80 nucleotides in length. Their secondary structure includes four short double-helical elements and three loops (D, anti-codon, and T loops). Lineage: Bacteria; Pseudomonadati; Pseudomonadota; Alphaproteobacteria; Rhodobacterales; Paracoccaceae. The record is from Rfam.
GGCUAGGUAGCUCAGUUGGUUAGAGCACACGACUCAUAAUCGUGGGGUCGGGGGUUCAAAUCCCCCCCUCGCCA